RNAcentral lists this unclassified non-coding RNA (287 nucleotides) under soil metagenome. RNAcentral describes it as "partial contains small subunit ribosomal RNA, internal transcribed spacer 1, and 5.8S ribosomal RNA". The record is from RNAcentral.
UUUCCGUAGGUGAACCUGCGGAAGGAUCAUUAACACGUAUCCAUGUUGAAUCACCGCGAAUUCUUAGGGUAGGCUUAUUUGAGAAAAGGCCUAACUUUGAGGACAGCUCUACUCUAUUCUCGACUUAGCGGUUGAGUUAGAGAUAUCAAAUAGGCUCCUUUGCAUACCUUCGGAGGCGUUCCUGAUCGGAGAAUUGAAACCCCUUUUUAUCAAAUAAAGGCCGUCUCUUUGCAUACCGCUUUUAACCGAAUGCUGUACAACUCUUAGCAACGGAUAUUUUGGUUCUG